RNAcentral lists this ribosomal RNA (510 nucleotides) under uncultured bacterium. RNAcentral's name for it is "partial 16S ribosomal RNA". It matches the Rfam family "Bacterial small subunit ribosomal RNA", at positions 28 to 507 of the family's 1533-position model. The record is from RNAcentral.
GACGAACGCUGGCGGCGUGCUUAACACAUGCAAGUCGAACGAAGAGCGAUGGAGGCUUGCUUCUAUCAAUCUUAGUGGCGAACGGGUGAGUAACGCGUAAUCAACCUGCCCUUCAGAGGGGGACAACAGUUGGAAACGACUGCUAAUACCGCAUACGAUCUAAUCUCGGCAUCGAGGAUAGAUGAAAGGUGGCCUCUACAUGUAAGCUAGAACUGAAGGAGGGGAUUGCGUCUGAUUAGCUAGUUGGAGGGGUAACGGCCCACCAAGGCGAUGAUCAGUAGCCGGUCUGAGAGGAUGAACGGCCACAUUGGGACUGAGACACGGCCCAGACUCCUACGGGAGGCAGCAGUGGGGAAUCUUCCGCAAUGGACGAAAGUCUGACGGAGCAACGCCGCGUGAGUGAUGACGGCCUUCGGGUUGUAAAGCUCUGUUAAUCGGGACGAAAGGCCUUCUUGCGAAUAGUGAGAAGGAUUGACGGUACCGGAAUAGAAAGCCACGGCUAACUACGUG